GAUGAACGCUGGCGGCGUGCCUAAUACAUGCAAGUCGAGCGGCAGCACGGUCUUCGGACUGGUGGCGAGCGGCGGACGGCUGAGUAACGCGUAGGAAUAUACCCCAAAGUGAGGGAUAACUGCCCGAAAGGGUGGCUAAUACCGCAUGUGGUCUUCGGACUAAAGCCUUCGGGCGCUUUGGGAAUAGCCUGCGUAAGAUUAGCUAGUUGGUGAGGUAAUGGCUCACCAAGGCGACGAUCUUUAGCUGGUCUGAGAGGAUGACCAGCCAGACUGGAACUGAGACACGGUCCAGACUCCUACGGGAGGCAGCAGUAGGGAAUUUUCCACAAUGGGCGAAAGCCUGAUGGAGCAACGCCGCGUGCAGGAUGAAGGCCCUCGGGUCGUAAACUGCUUUUAUGUGCGAAGAAUAAUGACGGUAACACAUGAAUAAAGGGUCGGCUAACUACGUGCCAGCAGCCGCGGU
Molecule: ribosomal RNA, 463 nt
Filed under: uncultured bacterium
Lineage: Bacteria
Description: bacterial SSU rRNA
Rfam family: Bacterial small subunit ribosomal RNA
Source: RNAcentral